UCAUAGACAUGUCUGAGUGGUUAUGUUUUGUUGUUUCACACACACUCAUUCCCUUAGCAUGUAAAUACAACAAGGAUGUAAAUAUAGAGGAUUCAGGUGAACGGAACGAGAGCUAACCCUGAAGGGCAGGGUUGUUUUUAGUUCUAGUGAGUGUCUGCUGCUGUAAGAGUGAAAGCCAGACAAGUCAAGUUCCAGUGUGUGUGUGUGUCACGGGGACCACACAGAAGAACCUAAAGAGAAGAUCUAGUGAUUGUGAGUAAGGGAAUAUCACAACACGUUCACAUCACUUCUGGGGAAGUGAUAGAAGAAUUAGUUUCUAAGAAGUUAGAAGAAGUUAGAAGAAGUAGUUUAUAAGAAGUUUGAACUGUUAUUAAGAAGGAUUUACAGUUUUGGGAAGAUUUGUUUGUAAUCACAUUACCACACCACUCACGAGGUUAAGUGAGUGAGAGUUGUGUUUGAGGUCUGUGUAGAGUGACGUGCAGUGAUAGUUAGUGCAGCGUCAGUGUGCUAACCCAUUACCAAUUUGUUAACAAUUCAUUUACUAACCCAUUUAACCAAUUGUUACCAAUUUAGUUACUAACCCAAA
Bolinopsis microptera is the source of this 586-nucleotide long non-coding RNA. RefSeq lists it as uncharacterized. The transcript is spliced from 2 exons. The record is from RefSeq and is a predicted model, not a curated record. NCBI's taxonomy places the organism in Eukaryota, Metazoa, Ctenophora, Tentaculata, Lobata, Bolinopsidae.